CAAUAGCGUAUAUUAAAGUUGUUGCAGUUAAAACGCUCGUAGUCGGGUUUCGGGUCGGGCCGAGCGGUCUGCCGAUGGGUAUGCACUGUUUGGCGCGGCCUUCUUUCCGGAGACCGCGGCUACUCUUAACUGAGCGGGCGUGGGAGACGGAUCGUUUACUUUGAAAAAAUCAGAGUGUUUCAAGCAGGCAGCUCGCUCUUGCAUGGUACAGCAUGGGAUGAUAGAAUAGGACUCCGGUGCUAUUUUGUUGGUUUCGAACACCAGGAGUAAUGAUUAACAGGGACAGUCAGGGGCACUCGUAUUCCGUCGAGAGAGGUGAAAUUCUCAGACCAAUGGAAGACGAACCACUGCGAAAGCAUUUGCCAGGGAUGUUUUCACUGA
Molecule: ribosomal RNA, 381 nt
Filed under: uncultured eukaryote
Lineage: Eukaryota
Description: partial 18S ribosomal RNA
Rfam family: Eukaryotic small subunit ribosomal RNA
Source: RNAcentral